AUGUUGAUAUUUGAGCAGAUGAGAGCCAGUGUGGGCAAGCUGCUCAAGGGUAUCAACAGGAACAAUCCUGAGAAGCUGGCCACCCUGGAGUGCUAUGUGGAGAUGCAGGUCAAAGAGAAUGCCUAUGAUCUGGAAGCCAACCCAGCUCUCCUGAAGCUGUACCAGUCCAACCCAGCAUUUUUUCAGACCACUAUCACUGCCCAGAUCCAGCUGAAGGCCCUCACCAACCUGCCACAUACCAAAUUCAUGCUGUGCAAGUGCAUGAUUGGCCAGGCACAUCAAGAAGAGUGGCCAUCCGAUGCAUUUUGUACCUCAAGGACCUGGAGACCAGCCUCUUUCAGGCCUUCUGGCAAGCCUUGGAUGAAAACAUGGACCUCUUGUAAGGUAUAACUGGCUUUGAAGACUCUAUGCCUGGGUAUCUGUCGGACAGCCAACUGAAGGUGUGGAUGAGAAAAUACACCUGGAGUGCUGAUGAGUCAGGGCAGAUCUUCAUCUGUAGCCAGGAAGAGAACAUUAAGCCCAAGAACCUUGUGGAGAAGAUAGACUUUGACAGUGUGUCCAGCAUCAUGGCCUCCUUCCAGUAACUGCAGGUGUUUAAUAAAUAUUUGUUGACUUAA
This is an RNA transcript of Mandrillus leucophaeus (drill), 617 nucleotides long. It is a transcript of the gene named eukaryotic translation initiation factor 3 subunit K-like, with no coding region annotated. The record is from RefSeq and is a predicted model, not a curated record. The transcript has 2 exons. NCBI's taxonomy places the organism in Eukaryota, Metazoa, Chordata, Mammalia, Primates, Cercopithecidae.